UCGCGGCAUUUAUUUAAAUAUCCCAUUAGUUUCAGCUGCAAUGGAUACAGUGACUGAGUCACGUAUGGCGAUU
This 73-nucleotide transfer RNA is filed under the name Acinetobacter baumannii BJAB07104. Its description in RNAcentral is "tRNA-Phe". The record is from RNAcentral. Lineage: Bacteria; Pseudomonadati; Pseudomonadota; Gammaproteobacteria; Moraxellales; Moraxellaceae.